RNAcentral lists this long non-coding RNA (3362 nucleotides) under Sus scrofa (pig). Its description in RNAcentral is "lncRNA (ENSSSCG00040055482.1)". Lineage: Eukaryota; Metazoa; Chordata; Mammalia; Artiodactyla; Suidae. The record is from RNAcentral.
AGUUUUCCCCCAGGCUGUGGCCCCCGGCACCCAGCCCCGGGCUUGGUACACAGUGGGAACUUGAUACCUAUUUGUUCAAUGAAUAAUGAACACGGCAUAUGAAACCUAUUAGGUGAUUUUGGCCUUGGGUCUCAUUUGGGGAACUCACAUAAACUGCAUCCAACAGAGCGUCUGCUACCCACCUGGUCCUGGCUGGCAGAGAAGCUGUAGCACCGAAGCUUUUGGCAGGCGGUUUCAUCAAAAAUCUUGGCUGUUUCGAAUAUAUGUCCAGCCAGUCUGAAGACAAGCACUAAUACCUUCCCGCCUUUUGAAAAGCAAAACUCACUGGAAACACAAUGUCUCCGUGGUAAGAGCCAAAUACUCUGCUAGGCACAAAGCUCUGAGAAUCAAGGCAGCUUUUUAAGCUUUUCAAUGAGGAAACUAAGUGUAAACUGUGUAUACAGCAAAAAAAAAAAAAAAAAAAAAAAAAAAAANAAUGUCCUUUAAUGUUGACAGAAGUCACUUUCUGGAGCUUGUUCCUAUUGUAUUUCCCUGUCUUCAUCCUGCUAACUCUCCGAUGCCUUUUUUUUCCUUCAAAAAGAUAACAUUCCCAGUACAGUGGUGUACAGUUAGGAAAAGUUUAUUUUGCGCGCUUCCAGCAUCAGCAUCAAAGUCAAUGGCAUUUUCUACCAAGGAACAUCAGCUCUGAAUUAUCUUUGUCUAGAUUAUAUAGUGUUUGUUUUUUCCAGAUUUUCUUCUCCAAAACUCAGCCUGUCACAAAACAUCUUCAGCUUCCAUUGGCUGCUGUAGCCUAGUUAAUUUUUUUUUUCUCCAAGAGAAGGAAAAUUGACUCGGAGAUUAGCUUAACUAAAACACGGGAUAGGUUGCUCUAAAGAAAAGUGAAUUUCACUGGGUCACAAGAAAAAGAGAGGAAUAACUUUGGAGGCUCUAUUACUAUUAUAUUAUUGAUACUAUUGAUANUCUAUUACUAUUAUAUUAUUGAUACUAUUGAUAUUAUUAUUAUUAUUACAACUACCAUCACGAUUACUCCUAUUCGUAUUUGGCUCUGUGACCCUUUAAGACAGAUCUCACCUUUUCUCUUUCUGUAACAUCCAGCUGAGCCAAGCAUCGUUUUGGAACUCUUUUUUGAGUUAAUUCAGAAGCCAUAAUUUUCUCCGAAUGCUGAGAAAUGAUUUGGAAUAAGGCCAUUUCACAGCACUGCAAGGUUGGAAGAGCUCCUUCCAGUUUACCUCAUUCAACCACCAUCAGUUUUUCUGGUCUCCUAACGUUGCUGCCGAGAGGGUGGUCUGGCCCCUGAUGGAACGCUUUGGGAUGGUCUGGUCUCUGAAACACUAGGAGGGCCUCGCUUUGAUCAUCGUUCACCUCAUUCCUGAAGCCACUGUAAUUGCUCUGUGGUUGGGUGGCCGAGCACUCCAAGGGGGUGUAGGUAAGACUUGGGACAGGCCAGCCAAAUCCACCUGCACACAUUCAAUUCGCUGUGGCUGGCAGGAGUCCAGCCUAGAUACCAUUCAUACGAACAGGGGUCUUUUUGAAUUCGAGUCUUAUCUCCAGGAGCCAGUGAGAACAUCCAUUGUUCUCCUGCUGCAAGUUAACAGCUCUGCAUACUUUAGAAGCAAUGAGCCUAAACAAAAAGGAAUUUUCUUCCAGUGGUUUGUGUUGGAGCCAGUAGGAGCUAUGGAGUGCAUGCCGGGUGCAGAAGGAUUGAACGGAUUUUAGAAAAAUCUGUGGCUUAUUACUUAUUGUGUUACCCUGAGCCCCUCAACCAUGCCAGUACUAACCUUUAGCUAGUGCUAACGGUUAGGCAAGGUAGGAUUUCUUUGCUUAACCAACAGCUCAAGCUUAAUAACUGCCAUGACAAAUAACUUUGCUCUAGUCUACUAAUUACUAAAAGGAAUGGCUAGCUGUCUCCUAUUUUCUUUUAAUCGCUCUGUUUCUCAUGUAAUUAACCUAUUAAACAGCUACGUUUACCUCUAACAGGAUGCGGUCAUUUGAGGAAUCAUGUCUUGAGGUGAAACAAAUCCUCCUUCAUUUCUUGCUGUGUUACAGCUCACUGGUCAGAAUUACAAAGAGGGGCAUUUACAAGUAAGAACACUGGAGUCCCUGUUGUGGCUCAGUGGGUUAAGAACCCAACCUAGUAUCCGUGAGGAUGCAGGUUCAAGCCCUGGCCCCGCUCCGUGGGUUAAGGAUCUGGUGGUGCCAUGAGCUGUGGUGUAGGUCUGAAGCUGUAGCUCUGACUCCACUCCCAGCUCCAGAACUUCCACAUGCCACAGGUGUGGCCCUAAAAAGAAAAAAAAAAGGGGGGGGGGACUAAGAACACUGAUGACUGAUCAGCCACUGAAGCCGUCUUUGGGAAGACGGAAGUCUGGGAACUCCUAGCUACUCAGGGCAGAGUUUAAGUCUGGUGGUCUCUGAGCAGGACCACAGAAUCACAGGCUUUGCCGAAAGUUCGAUGCCGGGUGUGAACAGCAGCCUCAUGACUCAUUCAAGGGUGAGCUGGAAUGGGGUGAUCCAGGCAGAAGACUUUUCAAGAGAAGCAAAACUGUAGCCAAAUGACUAGCAGGGCCCAGGAGUGCUGGGGAAACCCAGCUGUCUGUUAGACUUCCCUUCCCCUGCCCCACCACCCUGAAAAAAAAAGGGCUUGUUUGUUCAAAAGGCUCCAGGCAGUGAGUUUACAUACAGGAUUGGACACAUCUGGAAGAUGCAAUUACUGGGCCUGCAAUUAGUAAGCUUGGUAUCCACACACAUGGAGAAGGUGCAUCUCCUGUUCUUACACCUCUGGGAGAGUCUGGCCUUUAAACCUUAGGUCUUCUUUUGUCAUUUAGGAAAACUGGUAGCCAUUCAAUUGUUCAUUGGAAGUGAAUUCUCCUUGCGGGGAUGGAAUGUGGCUACCCGGGAGAUGAUUUCACUUGAUCAGACCCAGAAGUCGCCAAGCCUCCCAAAGACGAUUUCUUUAGACACAGAAUGUUCUAUGAGUCUGUGCUUUGACUGCAGAGCCCUAUCAGGUGAAUAAUUAUACUGUAACUGUGUUUCAGACAAUGUUACUUACGAGCGAAGCAAUUUCUGUUUUGAAAUGUUACCUUAUGGGUGAAAGUCCACUGAUCAUCCUUCUGGAAGAUUAAAAGAAAACAGAACUCAGAAGUUUUUAUAUGUGUGUGUGUGUAUAAAUUCCACCAUUUAAUCUACGUAGAAAUGAAUGUAAUUAUAUAAUUAUGGAUAUGCAAUUAUAGAAAUUUACAUACAUUUCAGAAAGUCUCCGUCUAGAUAAAUUUAGAUAAAUCUCAAUCUAGAUAUGCUUAUUAUUUGACUGCCUGGACUUGAAGGGGGAAACUUUUAUGAAAAAAAAAAAAAAAAAAAAAAAAAAA